CAGUCGCCGCGGGAAUACGAAGGGGGCUAGCGUUGUUCGGAAUUACUGGGCGUAAAGGGCGCGUAGGCGGCCAUUCAAGUUAGAUGUGAAAGCCCUGGGCUCAACCUAGGAAUUGCAUUUGAUACUGUUUGGCUUGAGUUCGGGAGAGGUGAGUGGAAUUCCCAGUGUAGAGGUGAAAUUCGUAGAUAUUGGGAAGAACACCAGUGGCGAAGGCGGCUCACUGGACCGACACUGACGCUGAGGCGCGAAAGCGUGGGGAGCAAACAGGAUUAGAUACCCCGGUAGUCCCUGUCUCUUAUAC
RNAcentral lists this ribosomal RNA (301 nucleotides) under uncultured bacterium. RNAcentral's name for it is "partial 16S ribosomal RNA". It matches the Rfam family "Bacterial small subunit ribosomal RNA", at positions 509 to 807 of the family's 1533-position model. The record is from RNAcentral.